ACUUCAAGUUCAGUGCUCCAAUUUUAUUCAACGUGUAACGUAUAAGUUGGUAGACCAAUAGAAUUUAUAUGAACAAAUACUAUUUGAUUUCGGGGAAGGUAUAUUGCAAGGUGUAGUCAAGUUUGCUGAUUUUACAAUUGAAAAUAAUUUUAGAAAUACAGGCUAGAAUGCAAAAGGCUGUAGAUAAUACAAAGCCUUCCUUAAGAAUACAAAGAUUUUAUAGGGAAAAACAAGUGUGCGUUGAAAAAAAUCAUUUAUAAAGACGAAAGAUUUACAAAUUAUAACAUGAUACAUCAGGAAAAUUACUUCCGAAUAAAUUGACUAUACAUAAUUUGACUGAUGAUUGGCUAAAAGCUAUUCAGGUGAUUUGGAAAACUACCCACUUAAAUGCAGAAAACAAUUGUGAUAUAAAUAAAUCAAUGUCGGAUUGUUUUCAAGAAAGAGAAGAACUUUGAUUGCGUUAUCAAGUAGCUGUAAUUAGAAAUGCUAUAAACGAACUUGGAUGUAAAAAAUUACCUUCUGGAUAUGACCUUUCAAUGGAGGAUUCAUUUACUGAGCCAACAAAAACAAAAUCAAAAUUUACAAGAGGACAACAUUUCUAACAUUUCUAAUAGUUUCUUUGGCUUCAACCCAUAAACUUCUGUCUGAUAAACAAACAGAAUUUAAUCUGAUUAUAUCUGAUAAAAAAACAGAAUAGGCUCAUGCAUUCUUCAUAAUUUCAAGUUCAGUGAUAAUAAAUAUGAGAAUCGAAGAUAUUGAAAGAUCAAUCAGGAUUUUAAAUUUAUUACAGUUCUGUCUUGUUUCUUUAAAAAUUUUAAAAUUGAUUAACAAAAGAAAGAAGAAAUUGAGAAGAUGGUGGGUCAAACCACAUCUUUUACCCGGCAUCAGAAAUACUGUGGGAGCAUAUACAGUCAUAUGUCAUUACUUUCAAUUAAACAAUCAUGAAGAAUUCCAAAUUCAUUUCAAGAUGUCAGUUGAUAAUUUCCAAGCUUUAUGCGAUCUUAUUGGGAAUAGAUUACAAAAGCAAUACCAUACAAGAGAGCCAAUCGCACCAUAUCUACGACUUGCUUUAACUUUGCAUCACUUAGGACAAGGAGGAAACGCUCAUCUUCACUCUAUACAUUAUAGGGUUGGAAAAUCUACUUUUUACAAAAUUAUUCGUGAAACAUGUUACAUUAUUGCUUCAGUUCUGCUGCCUGUUUAUAUGAAAGUGGAAGUUACGGGAAUUGUACAAGGAAAUGCUUUGGUUACAACCGUAUUUAAGCCAUAUGCCUCAAAUUUGUUCUGAUAACAUGGACUCCUUGAUGAAAUUAUCAUCAAGUAGUGGUGAAAACAAAUUCGACAAGAGGAAAUUUAGUUGGAAAAGAAAAUCAGAUGAUGAUAUUGAAACAUUAGACGAUGCCAUUGAUACAGCUACGAAGUCCAUGAAAAAAUUGGAAAAUGAUCUUGCAAAUCUUGAUAAGAACACGAGUAAUGAGAAUCAAGAAAUUAGAAGAUUCAUGAAUUUAAUCAAAAUAGGAUUUAAUAAUAUUUCUGAAUCAUCAAAAUACAAAUGUACUAGAGAAAUAAUUUCUUUUAUUUCGAAAUUGAAAUAAGUUUUACAAUAAAAAAAUUGUUAUUCACUUUUUAAAAUAAAAACUGAUCAAUAAAAAUUAGAAAAUAUAACACGUAUCCACUAUUUUACCGCUUACGUUAUAUACGUGUCAGUUUUCGCCCCAUAUGUGGCCAAGAUUGGUACAUAUACAUUUCUGUUUUUCUUUGUUCAAGCAUGUCGUUAGUAUUCUUUGCGUCUACAUUUCCUACAAUUCUACAGUUACAGUCGCUGUAAGAAUAAAUUUUCAACUGGUGAUCAAAGUUAUUAUAAUAAUGAAUAAUACGGUAGUAAUAAAAAAUAUAAUGGAAUUCAAACCAUUCCAUGAAGAAAAAUUGAACGAGAAGAUGAAAUUCACGAUUGAAUAUAUUAUACAAAACGAUUUUCGUCGUUUUGUACCAGUGGCGUUUAGAAAUAUUGAAAUUCAUAUGGGCAAUAAUAAUUAUUCGAGAUUCAUUUUUUGGUUUUCCAAUGAAAGCGAAGGUAUAAUUACAUUGGAUAAUGAGAUUAGCCAUAAAGAAGUGUUGCAGAAAAUCAUUCAACAAAAGACAGUGAUUGGAGGUUACAAGUGCAGAUUUCUUGGAACAAUAGAAGAUGACAAACCAAUAACCAACAAUACAUUUACAAAUCGAUGGAGUUUA
Molecule: long non-coding RNA, 2232 nt
Organism: Phymastichus coffea
Lineage: Eukaryota; Metazoa; Arthropoda; Insecta; Hymenoptera; Eulophidae
Exons: 8
Source: RefSeq, a predicted model, not a curated record